UACGUAGGAGGCGAGCGUUGUCCGGAUUUACUGGGCGUAAAGGGCGCGCAGGCGGCCUUGCAAGUAGCGUGUGAAAUCCACCUGCUCAACGGGUGGGGUGCAUGGUAGACUGCAGGGCUAGAGGACGGUAGAGGGGGGUGGAAUUGCUGGUGUAGCGGUGAAAUGCGUAGAGAUCAGCAGGAACACCCGUGGCGAAGGCGGCCCCCUGGGCCGUACCUGACGCUCAUGCACGAAAGCGUGGGGAGCAAACAGG
Molecule: ribosomal RNA, 253 nt
Filed under: uncultured bacterium
Lineage: Bacteria
Description: partial 16S ribosomal RNA
Rfam family: Bacterial small subunit ribosomal RNA
Source: RNAcentral